Small nuclear RNA from Rhincodon typus (whale shark), 102 nucleotides. Lineage: Eukaryota; Metazoa; Chordata; Chondrichthyes; Orectolobiformes; Rhincodontidae. The record is from RefSeq and is a predicted model, not a curated record.
GCUUUUCCCAUCAGCAGCACUUAUACUAAAGCUGGAACAAGAAGAAUUGCAUGACCCCUAUGCAAGGACGACAUGCAAAUUCAUGAAGGGUCCCAUUUUUUU